This 484-nucleotide long non-coding RNA is filed under the name Mus caroli (Ryukyu mouse). RNAcentral describes it as "Mir9-3 host gene (MGP_CAROLIEiJ_G0006575.1)". Lineage: Eukaryota; Metazoa; Chordata; Mammalia; Rodentia; Muridae. The record is from RNAcentral.
GAGUCCCAGGCCUCUCCGGGCCUACGGAAGCACCGGGUGCCCGCGGCGAAGCCGGCCGGGCAAGGCCCUCAGAGUACGGCCUGAGCACACACACCGGACGCCCGGGACCGAAAAGGAGACCCGGAGGAGCAGCCGCGUCCCCUGGGCCUGCGCCAAGGCUUCGGCGGGGCGCGCUGCGGGGCCGGGAGGCCAUUUUGAGAGCGAACGAGCGGCGGCAAGAUGGCUGCGUGGGCACGAGGACGCACUCCAGGGUGGGCCAGGAGAAGAGAAAAAAGAAAAGACAGCUUGGUGAUGACUAAGAAGCCUUCUCUCCUCAGACAUGGUGAGAUGUACUCGGAUCUAGAGCAGGCAGCUGGCCAGAGACCCACAGGGAGCUCAGUGAUUGGCCUCAGAUGACCUUGGGGACAAAGAUUGUCCUGUGAAGGGAAGUGAUGGCACGGGCUCUGAUCAGCUCUUCUGGGAACAGACAGAGAAGUGAGAAUUC